RNAcentral lists this long non-coding RNA (967 nucleotides) under Homo sapiens (human). Its description in RNAcentral is "non-protein coding lnc-SYK-6:5". Lineage: Eukaryota; Metazoa; Chordata; Mammalia; Primates; Hominidae. The record is from RNAcentral.
ACCAGCUCGCGUCCCUCCCCGGCCAGGGCCACCGCCGUCCGAGCGCCCGCGAGGGCUGGCGCCCCAUUCCCGGCGCAACGAGUGUUGCGCAACGGCCCACGCGGCCGACACGACCGGAGCGAGCCUGCGGAGGAGCCCGGGAGCCCCCCGUCCCACCGCCCCGUCCGCUCUUGGCUCCCUUCACCCUCCCGGUCGCCGCGGUGGCUCUGCGCUCCCCGCGACCCUCACUUGCUCGCAGAGGCGCUUUUUGUCUUCCUGAGAGCCGCAGCCUGCUGGGCUACCUGUUGCCGACUGAGCACUGCGGGUUGCGGCUACCCGGGCGUGGCCCGGACCUCGGCCUCCCCUUCCCCGCACACUCCCGAGAGGAGCCCUCUACCUUGGGGUGGGCAGGAGGGAAGGCGGGGGGUGGCGGCUGGCAAGCUGCCAACACUCGGGGCGCGCUGCGGCGGGGAAGGGGUUGGCGCGGCCGGGCAGCUGCGCAGGGCUGCGCGGCGGAGGCAGCGAUUAAAAUGUCCCGGCGCCUCUCCCGAGAGCCGCGACGGCCCGGAGCCGGGAGGGAAAGCUCCACGCACAAACACCGCCCCCUGCACAAUUAGGGCGAAGAUGACGGCUGCAAAGUUGUUGCGUAACACGACUGGGAAACGAGGCUCGCUGAGGUCCAUCUACCCACCCCCGCCACGCGGGUGCGGCGUUCCUCGGAGGAUGUGAAGGUCCGCGCUCGGGUGCCCCCGCUGGGACGCCCACUGUCGUUUGGUGCUGGGGCUUGAGACGACCGCGCGGGAUCUCUUCCUGUGAUUUUGAGCUGAUAGCUGCUUAGUGUUAUUUCUGCGUCUAACUGGAUACGGUAGUCUUCUCUCCCAAAUUCCCGGGCUACGGAAGAGACGUAAAAAAAUGGAAAAAAGAGCACCUAGCCGCGACUUCUUAAGUCGUCGCGCUAGACUGUCAAGGCACGUGGCACACUCCCUGC